RNAcentral lists this ribosomal RNA (512 nucleotides) under uncultured bacterium. RNAcentral describes it as "bacterial SSU rRNA". It matches the Rfam family "Bacterial small subunit ribosomal RNA", at positions 8 to 518 of the family's 1533-position model. The record is from RNAcentral.
AGAGUUGAUCAGUGGCUCAGGACGAACGCUGGCGGCGUGCCUAAUACAUGCAAGUCGAACGGUCUUUCUAUGGAAGCUUGCUUCCACUGAAAAGAUAGUGGCGAACGGGUGAGUAACACGUGGGUAACCUGCCCAUAAGAGGGGGAUAACAUCCGGAAACGGGUGCUAAUACCGCAUAGUUUUCUUGAUCGCAUGAUUGAGAAAGGAAAGACGGCCUUUGUGCUGUCGCUUAUGGAUGGACCCGCGGCGUAUUAGUUAGUUGGUGAGGUAACGGCUCACCAGGGCGACGAUGCGUAGCCGACCUGAGAGGGUGAUCGGCCACAUUGGGACUGAGACACGGCCCAGACUCCUACGGGAGGCAGCAGUGGGGAAUAUUGCACAAUGGGGGAAACCCUGAUGCAGCCAACGCCGCGUGAGUGAUGACGGCCUUCGGGUUGUAAAGCUCUGUCUUCAGGGACGAUAAUGACGGUACCUGAGGAGGAAGCCACAGCUAACUACGUGCCAGCCGCAGC